Xenia sp. Carnegie-2017 is the source of this 359-nucleotide long non-coding RNA. RefSeq lists it as uncharacterized. The transcript is spliced from 2 exons. The record is from RefSeq and is a predicted model, not a curated record. Lineage: Eukaryota; Metazoa; Cnidaria; Anthozoa; Malacalcyonacea; Xeniidae.
GCAGAUGCGGAAGAUAACGAAAAACAUUGAAGAAUAAAAUUUGCAUGUGAUUAAUUGUUUUGAUCAAAUUUCAUUACGUGUCUCGUCUUCAAUGGUUUCUAACCAUUUCUAACAAGAUUUUGAGCUUUGGGCAUGAUUUAUAGCUUACAUCGAGCGCUAUGUUUUGUUUAAAGUUCGCAUUUUUGGUACCUGUUGUUUUCGUAAUAUUUUGGAACUCGAGUUCAGUGUCAUGAAGGCGAUGCUCUAAGCGCAAAGAAAUCGACCAUACCUACAUCAACUUCUGCUAUAAACUUCACUUCACCUCAACAUACAAAAGAAGAUGAUGAAAUCGAUGUUAAAAAUGUCACAAAGUCAUCACA